This 493-nucleotide ribosomal RNA is filed under the name uncultured bacterium. RNAcentral describes it as "partial 16S ribosomal RNA". It matches the Rfam family "Bacterial small subunit ribosomal RNA", at positions 30 to 523 of the family's 1533-position model. The record is from RNAcentral.
AUUGAACGCUGGCGGCAUGCUUUACACAUGCAAGUCGAACGGUAACAGGUUAAGCUGACGAGUGGCGAACGGGUGAGUAAUGCAUCGGAACGUGCCCGGUCGUGGGGGAUAACGCAGCGAAAGCUGUGCUAAUACCGCAUACGAUCUAUGGAUGAAAGCGGGGGACCGCAAGGCAUCGCGCGAUUGGAGCGGCCGAUAUCAGAUUAGCUAGUUGGUGGGGUAAAGGCCCACCAAGGCGACGAUCUGUAGCUGGUCUGAGAGGACGACCAGCCACACUGGAACUGAGACACGGUCCAGACUCCUACGGGAGGCAGCGGUGGGGAAUUUUGGACAAUGGGCGCAAGCCUGAUCCAGCAAUGCCGCGUGCAGGAUGAAGGCCUUCGGGUUGUAAACUGCUUUUGUACGGAACGAAACGGUGAGCUUUAAUACAGUUUGCUAAUGACGGUACCGUAAGAAUAAGCACCGGCUAACUACGUGCCAGCCGCCGCCGUAA